Molecule: ribosomal RNA, 864 nt
Filed under: uncultured bacterium
Lineage: Bacteria
Description: bacterial SSU rRNA
Rfam family: Bacterial small subunit ribosomal RNA
Source: RNAcentral
UUCCAGGUGUAGCGGGUGAAAUGCGUAGAGAUCUGGAGGAAUACCGGUGGCGAAGGCGGCCCCUGGACGAAGACUGACGCUCAGGUGCGAAAGCGUGGGGAGCAAACAGGAUUAGAUACCUGGUAGUCCACGCCGUAAACGAUGUCGACUUGGAGGUUGUGCCCUUGAGGCGUGGCUUCCGGAGCUAACGCGUUAAGUCGACCGCCUGGGGAGUACGGCCGCAAGGUUAAAACUCAAAUGAAUUGACGGGGGCCCGCACAAGCGGUGGAGCAUGUGGUUUAAUUCGAUGCAACGCGAAGAACCUUACCUGGUCUUGACAUCCACGGAAGUUUUCAGAGAUGAGAAUGUGCCUUCGGGAACCGUGAGACAGGUGCUGCAUGGCUGUCGUCAGCUCGUGUUGUGAAAUGUUGGGUUAAGUCCCGCAACGAGCGCAACCCUUAUCCUUUGUUGCCAGCGGUCCGGCCGGGAACUCAAAGGAGACUGCCAGUGAUAAACUGGAGGAAGGUGGGGAUAACGUCAAGUCAUCAUGGCCCUUACGACCAGGGCUACACACGUGCUACAAUGGCGCAUACAAAGAGAAGCGACCUCGCGAGAGCAAGCGGACCUCAUAAAGUGCGUCGUAGUCCGGAUUGGAGUCUGCAACUCGACUCCAUGAAGUCGGAAUCGCUAGUAAUCGUGGAUCAGAAUGCCACGGUGAAUACGUUCCCGGGCCUUGUACACACCGCCCGUCACACCAUGGGAGUGGGUUGCAAAAGAAGUAGGUAGCUUAACCUUCGGGAGGGCGCUUACCACUUUGUGAUUCAUGACUGGGGUGAAGUCGUAACAAGGUAACCGUAGGGGAACCUGCGGCUGGAUCACCUCCUU